AUUGAACGCUGGCGGCAGGCCUAACACAUGCAAGUCGAGCGAGCGGCGGACGGGUGAGUAAUGUCUGGGAAACUGCCUGAUAGAGGGGGAUAACUACUGGAAACGGUAGCUAAUACCGCAUACCAUCGGAUGUGCCCAGAUGGGAUUAGCUAGUAGGUGGGGUAAGGGCUCACCUAGGCGACGAUCCCUAGCUGGUCUGCGAGGAUGAUCAGCCACACUGGAACUGAGACACGGCCCAGACUCCUACGGGAGGCAGCAGUGGGGAAUAUUGCACAAUGGGCGCAAGCCUGAUGCAGCCAUGCCGCGUGUAUGAAGAAGGCCUUCGGGUUGUAAAGUACUUUCAGUCGGGAGGCGUUACCCGCAGAAGAAGCACCGGCUAACUCCGUGCCAGCAGCCGCGGUAAUAC
RNAcentral lists this ribosomal RNA (406 nucleotides) under uncultured bacterium. RNAcentral's name for it is "partial 16S ribosomal RNA". It matches the Rfam family "Bacterial small subunit ribosomal RNA", at positions 30 to 526 of the family's 1533-position model. The record is from RNAcentral.